ACGGGGUGCAGCAGGCGCGAAACCUUUGCAAUGUGCGCAAGCACGACAAGGUUAAUCCGAGUGUUUCCUGCUAAAGGAAUCUUUUGUUAGUCGUAAAACCACUGAUGAAUAAGGGGUGGGCAAGUUCUGGUGUCAGCCGCCGCGGUAAAACCAGCACCUCAAGUGGUCAGGAGGAUUAUUGGGCCUAAAGCAUCCGUAGCCGGCUCUGCAAGUUUUCGGUUAAAUCCAUUUGCUUAACAAAUGGGCUGCCGAAAAUACUACAUAGCUAGGGAGUGGGAGAGGUAGACGGUAUUCGGUAGGAAGGGGUAAAAUCCUUUGAUCUAUUGAGGACCACCUAUGGCGAAGGCAGUCUACCAGAACACGUUCGACGGUGAGGGAUGAAAGCUGGGGGAGCAAACCGGAUUAGAUACCCGGGUAGUCCCAGCUGUAAACGAUACAGACUCGGUGAUGCACUGGCUUGUGGCCAGUGCAGUGCCGCAGGGAAGCCGUUAAGUUUGCCGCCUGGGAAGUACGUACGCAAGUAUGAAACUUAAAGGAAUUGGCGGGGGAGCAC
Molecule: ribosomal RNA, 553 nt
Filed under: uncultured Nitrososphaerota archaeon
Lineage: Archaea; Thermoproteati; Nitrososphaerota
Description: bacterial SSU rRNA
Rfam family: Archaeal small subunit ribosomal RNA
Source: RNAcentral